Pelodiscus sinensis (Chinese soft-shelled turtle) is the source of this 487-nucleotide non-coding RNA. Lineage: Eukaryota; Metazoa; Chordata; Testudines; Trionychidae. The record is from RefSeq and is a predicted model, not a curated record.
AAGAAAUACGCUCACAAGCUUGGAAUUGUGGAGAAGUGCUAGAAGACAUGACUCAAAACCCGGAAGGCCAUGAAAAAGAACCCCAAAGUUUAGAAAUAUCUGGCAACUCAAAUCUAAUCUUCCCUGGCUUUGCUGAAGGACUCAGUAUCAUGAGCACCUUACCCGAAUGAUUAGGCUUCAAGGAGGACCAUCUUAUGUCCCUGAGGAUGUGCUUUGUUCUCAUACUACAUGUGUUCCAUAUAUGUGACAAGGAAAUACUAUGUCUCUCAUUGAGUAGCAGUGCCAUGUUACAUUUAAACUUCCUCUUCCUUUGUGCCUCAGCUUUAGACUCCUGAUAACUAAAUUUUCAGAGAUUCCGAGCAUCCGAAUAUCCAACCGAGUGCUACACAUUCCUGAAAAUCAGCCCCCAUGCCUGAAAUGUGAACACUCACAAAAUUAGAAGUCCCUUUGAAAAAUGGGAACCUAGGCGACCUGUCUCAAGAAUACA